Molecule: long non-coding RNA, 457 nt
Organism: Gadus macrocephalus (Pacific cod)
Lineage: Eukaryota; Metazoa; Chordata; Actinopteri; Gadiformes; Gadidae
Exons: 3
Source: RefSeq, a predicted model, not a curated record
AACUGUAGAGAUCAAGAAAGGAAGAGGCAUGAGGAGGAGUACAACAGAACACUGCUCUCUAGGAAAUUGUUUACUGAUGUAAACUAAGUUGAUGCAGUCUUACAAUUAUGAUUCUAAUCCAGGUUUCUAUUUCAGGAGAAAGAAAUGGCUCAUAAACAUGAGGCGAAGUGACCUCAGACACUCCAUGUCACACGAGGAGUUAAUGCAGGGGGGCUACGUUGUCUGUGAACUGCAUUUUGAGGAAUGCUUCCUUAAAAAACACAAUGGAAAGGUGGCACUCACCAGAGAUGCCAUCCCCACACUGGUGGAUUGCGACAACCCGCCACCACUUGCCUCCCCACCUCUUAAAAGGCGAAAAAAAGAAAGAAGCUAAGCAGAGUCAAUCUGAGGAAGAAGACAGGUAUAUAGACACAGAGGGAGGGACAGAGAAAAGCACAGAGGAGACAGCAGAAAUUAU